RNAcentral lists this ribosomal RNA (493 nucleotides) under uncultured bacterium. Its description in RNAcentral is "bacterial SSU rRNA". It matches the Rfam family "Bacterial small subunit ribosomal RNA", at positions 903 to 1397 of the family's 1533-position model. The record is from RNAcentral.
AAAGGAAUAGACGGGGACCCGCACAAGCAGCGGAGCAUGUGGUUUAAUUCGAAGCAACGCGAAGAACCUUACCAGGUCUUGACAUCCUCUGACAACCUAAGAGAUUAGGCGUUCCCUUCGGGGACAGAGAAACAGGUGGUGCAUGGUUGUCGUCAGCUCGUGUCGUGAGAUGUUGGGUUAAGUCCCGCAACGAGCGCAACCCCUGUGAUUAGUUGCCAUCAUUUAGUUGGGCACUCUAAUCAGACUGCCGUGGAUAACACGGAGGAAGGUGGGGAUGACGUCAAAUCAUCAUGCCCCUUAUGACCUGGGCUACACACGUGCUACAAUGGUCUGAACAGAGGGCUGCGAAGGAGCAAUCUGGAGCCAAUCCCUUAAAACAGAUCUCAGUUCGGAUUGCAGGCUGCAACUCGCCUGCAUGAAGUUGGAGUUGCUAGUAAUCGCGAAUCAGAAUGUCGCGGUGAAUGCGUUCCCGGGUCUUGUACACACCGCCCGU